GACGUAGGGCGCGAGCGUUGUCCGGAUUUAUUGGGCGUAAAGAGCUCGUAGGCGGCUCAUUUCGUCAACCGUGAAAACCAGCAGCUCAACUGUUGGCUUGCGGUUGAUACGGGUGGGCUGGAGUUCGGUAGGGGAGACUGGAAUUCCUGGUGUAGCGGUGAAAUGCGCAGAUAUCAGGAGGAACACCGGUGGCGAAGGCGGGUCUCUGGGCCGAUACUGACGCUGAGGAGCGAAAGCGUGGGGAGCAAACAGG
RNAcentral lists this ribosomal RNA (253 nucleotides) under uncultured bacterium. RNAcentral describes it as "partial 16S ribosomal RNA". It matches the Rfam family "Bacterial small subunit ribosomal RNA", at positions 524 to 776 of the family's 1533-position model. The record is from RNAcentral.